Molecule: ribosomal RNA, 328 nt
Filed under: uncultured eukaryote
Lineage: Eukaryota
Description: partial 18S ribosomal RNA
Rfam family: Eukaryotic small subunit ribosomal RNA
Source: RNAcentral
CCCUUAGAUGUCCUGGGCCGCACGCGCGUUACACUGAUGCAUUCAACGAGCUUACAACCUUGGCCGAGAGGCCUGGGCAAUCUUGUUAACGUGCAUCGUGAUAGGGAUAGAUUAUUGAAAUUAUUAAUCUUGAACGAGGAAUUCCUAGUAAACGCAGAUCAUCAAUCUGCAUUGAUUACGUCCCUGCCCUUUGUACACACCGCCCGUCGCACCUACCGAUUGGAUGGUCCGGUGAAGCCUCGGGAUUGUGGUUCUUGCCGCUUUAUUGUGGCGUGACCGCGAGAACUUGUCUAAACCUUAUCAUCUAGAGGAAGGUGAAGUCGUAACA